CCGCGGGACAAGGACAAUGACUCAGCAGAUCUCAGGCCGGGCGCGGCCCUAAAGCUGGGGAACGCUCGAGAACUUUCGAGGGGAGACACUGCAGAGGAGCUGGUGUCCAGGUUAAAUUUGGAAAAGUGAGGCGGAAACCCCACACAGUUUUUUUUUUUAGCUGGAACCCAAGGCUGAGGGAACGACAUCCUUCUAGACUGUUCUUUCACCUUCGUGUACAUUCUGAGGGCCGGGUAUGGAAAGGUCCUACUUGGUUUCAACAGGGAGGCCUAGAAAUUUCUCUGGUUUCAAUGGGUACGAUUAUUGUAAUCAGGAUCCAUUCAAUAAUCGGACCCAUUUAAACCGAAGGUUUUAAAAGACAGGAAUAGAAUCCCAGCCCUAUUUCAGGGCAGGGUAGGGUAUCAAAUAUGAAAUGUAAUUCUACAGGGCAAUUCUAUUUUGAUAAAAGAAGUGGGGAGAAAAGAAUCACCAGCCAGGUUUUUAAAUUUUUACCACAACCUAUUUUGUGAUCCUUAUGUGUCAUUUCUUCAGUAUAUUUUUAAAAUGUUUUAACAAAUACGAACAUGGUGAGAUUUUUUAAAUGUGUCUUUUUAAAGUGUACAGUGAAAAGUCUCCCUCAUGCCUUCAAUUUCCCAGUCACUGUCCCUUCUGGAGUCUUCUAGAAAUAGUCCCUGUUUCUACAAAUGUAUUGGAGGUAGGGAGACUAUUUUGAUUUCUACCCUUGAAAGCUUCAAAAAGAGAGAAAAAGAGGCUAGCAACUGAAAAAUAUUUUGCCAUUAGGAAAAGACUACAUUCUUGUUUUAAGUUAUGAACAUUACAUUAUUUAAACGGCACACUUAAAAUAUGCAUCAAAGCAAAAUGAACCUGCUACAUAUUCUCUAUGGUAACCCAUGUUUGUGUGUAUUUAUGAAAAUCCAAGAUCUGUGCAAUGUUCAAAACAGACUUUGACAUCUCUAAUUUUUAACAAUUUUAAGAGAAUGAAUUCAUGUGUUAGUGGGAAAUUAAAAGGAAUAAUAAGUGUCAUCUUCCAGGAUUGGCAGGAAACCCCAGUGAGUUCCAAUACACAUUUCUGCAAAGUUUUUGUUUUUUGUUUUUCCCCUAGAUUUCGGGAAGGAGUUUUGAAAGGAAUAAAAAGCUGAGAUUCUUUGUGAGGUGACGAGGCCUGGCUUUCAACCACGCCCUGAUUUGCUUUUGGCUGUUGCUCUGCUGCAAGCCUUGUGAUUCAUGUUGUUUAAAGGCUGAGUCACCAGCUUUGUGACAUAGCUUUAUUCAGAGUCCAAAAGGGAGAAAUAACCUUUCCUGAAGCUCAUUAGAAACAAGCUGUCACCAAUGCGUCACCACCUAACUGGUCAGCUCCUCAUAACCUUGCAAAUACAAUUCUAGCGGAUACCAGAACCAAGGAACAAAUGAAAACUGACCCGUUCUUAAAUGUUCCUCUUCACAGACAAAAGAGAAGAGAAGAGAAGGAAAAUUGAGUUUCUUUCCAAUAAAUAAGGGCAUUGGCUUGAUUGUACCUUCA
Macaca mulatta (Rhesus monkey) is the source of this 1519-nucleotide non-coding RNA. The record is from RefSeq and is a predicted model, not a curated record. Lineage: Eukaryota; Metazoa; Chordata; Mammalia; Primates; Cercopithecidae.